UGGGUAACCGGCCUCAUAGUGGGGGAUGGCCUUCCGAAAGGGAGAUUAAUACCGCAUAAUAUCAUUAGAUGGCAUCAUUUAGUGAUCAAAGGAUUUAUUCGCUAUGAGAUGGACCCGCGUCGCAUUAGCUAGUUGGUAGGGUAAUGGCUUACCAAGGCGACGAUGCGUAGCCGACCUGAGAGGGUGAUCGGCCACAUUGGGACUGAGACACGGCCCAGACUCCUACGGGAGGCAGCAGUGGGGAAUAUUGCACAAUGGGGGAAACCCUGAUGCAGCAACGCCGCGUGAGUGAUGACGGUCUUCGGAUUGUAAAGCUCUGUCUUUGGGGACGAUAAUGACGGUACCCAAGGAGGAAGCCACGGCUAACUACGUGCCAGCAGCCGCGGUAAUACGUAGGUGGCGAGCGUUAUCCGGAAUUAUUGGGCGUAAAGGGAGCGUAGGCGGAUAAUUAAGUAGGAUGUGAAAUACUCAGGCUCAACCUGGGGGCUGCAUUCCAAACUGAUUAUCUAGAGUGCAGGAGAGGAGAGUGGAAUUCCUAGUGUAGCGGUGAAAUGCGUUAGAGAUUAGGAAGAACACCAGUGGCGAAGGCGACUCUCUGGAC
Molecule: ribosomal RNA, 601 nt
Filed under: uncultured bacterium
Lineage: Bacteria
Description: bacterial SSU rRNA
Rfam family: Bacterial small subunit ribosomal RNA
Source: RNAcentral